GCCCCGGUAGCUCAGACUGGGAGAGAGAAACAAAAGUUUCCUCCAACGCCCGGCUGAAGACCGGGAUGUCGGCGGUUCAAGUCCGCCCCGGGGCA
Molecule: transfer RNA, 95 nt
Filed under: Candidatus Caldarchaeum subterraneum
Lineage: Archaea; Thermoproteati; Nitrososphaerota; Candidatus Caldarchaeales; Candidatus Caldarchaeaceae
Also listed under: 1 other name
Description: Candidatus Caldiarchaeum subterraneum tRNA
Rfam family: tRNA
About the family: Transfer RNA (tRNA) molecules are approximately 80 nucleotides in length.
Source: Rfam by way of RNAcentral